GACGAACGCUGGCGGCGUGCUUAACACAUGCAAGUCGAACGGAAAGGCCCUGCUUUUGUGGGGUGCUCGAGUGGCGAACGGGUGAGUAACACGUGAGUAACCUGCCCUUGACUUUGGGAUAAAUUCAGGAAACUGGGGCUAAUACCGGAUAGGAGCUCCUGCUGCAUGGUGGGGGUAGGAAAGUUUCGGCGGUUGGGGAUGGACUCGCGGCUUAUCAGCUUGUUGGUGGGGUAGUGGAUUACCAAGGCUUUGACGGGUAGCCGGCCUUAGAGGGUGACCGGCCACAUUGGGACUGAGAUACGGCCCAGACUCCUACGGGAGGCAGCAGGGGGGAAUAUGGCACAAUGGGCGGAAGCCUGAUGCAGCAACGCCGCGUGCGGGAUGACGGCCUUCGGGUUGUAAACCGCUUUCGCCUGUGAUGAAGCGAGAGUGACGGUAAUGGGUAAAGAAGCACCGGCUAACUACGUG
This 468-nucleotide ribosomal RNA is filed under the name uncultured bacterium. RNAcentral describes it as "partial 16S ribosomal RNA". It matches the Rfam family "Bacterial small subunit ribosomal RNA", at positions 28 to 507 of the family's 1533-position model. The record is from RNAcentral.